Molecule: ribosomal RNA, 494 nt
Filed under: uncultured bacterium
Lineage: Bacteria
Description: partial 16S ribosomal RNA
Rfam family: Bacterial small subunit ribosomal RNA
Source: RNAcentral
GACGAACGCUGGCGACGCGCUUAACACAUGCAAGUCGAACGGAAAGGCCUGCUUUCCCUUGUGGAUUGCGGGUACUCGAGUGGCGAACGGGUGAGUAACACGUGAGUGAUCUGCCCCCAACUUGGGUAUAAGCCUGGGAAACUGGGUCUAAUUCCCGAUAGGACUGCAGGGUGGUGCCUGUGGUGGAAAACGAUUUUCUAGUGGUUGGGGAUGAGCUCGCGGCCUAUCAGCUUGUUGGUGGGGUAAUGGCCUACCAAGGCGGCGACGGGUAGCCGGCCUGAGAGGGUGGACGGCCACAUUGGGACUGGGAUACGGCCCAGACUCGUACGGGAGGCAGCAGUGGGGAAGAUUGCACAAUGGGCGGAAGCCUGAUGCAGCGACGCCGCGUGGGAGAUGACGGCCUUCGGGUUGUAAACUCCUUUCGACCGCGAGGAAGCCACCUGGUUGGAAGGGUGGUGACGGUAGUGGUAGAAGAAGCACCGGCUAACUACGUG